UUGACUUCAGGUCAGACGAGGUUACCCGCUGAACUUAAGCAUAUCAAUAAGCGGAGGA
This 58-nucleotide ribosomal RNA is filed under the name salal root associated fungus UBCtraSeq41. RNAcentral describes it as "partial 28S ribosomal RNA". It matches the Rfam family "Eukaryotic large subunit ribosomal RNA", at positions 1 to 57 of the family's 3401-position model. Lineage: Eukaryota; Fungi; Ascomycota. The record is from RNAcentral.